RNAcentral lists this ribosomal RNA (2925 nucleotides) under Escherichia coli. RNAcentral describes it as "bacterial LSU rRNA". It matches the Rfam family "Bacterial large subunit ribosomal RNA". The record is from RNAcentral. Lineage: Bacteria; Pseudomonadati; Pseudomonadota; Gammaproteobacteria; Enterobacterales; Enterobacteriaceae.
GGGUUGUGAGGUUAAGCGACUAAGCGUACACGGUGGAUGCCCUGGCAGUCAGAGGCGAUGAAGGACGUGCUAAUCUGCGAUAAGCGUCGGUAAGGUGAUAUGAACCGUUAUAACCGGCGAUUUCCGAAUGGGGAAACCCAGUGUGUUUCGACACACUAUCAUUAACUGAAUCCAUAGGUUAAUGAGGCGAACCGGGGGAACUGAAACAUCUAAGUACCCCGAGGAAAAGAAAUCAACCGAGAUUCCCCCAGUAGCGGCGAGCGAACGGGGAGGAGCCCAGAGCCUGAAUCAGUGUGUGUGUUAGUGGAAGCGUCUGGAAAGGCGCGCGAUACAGGGUGACAGCCCCGUACACAAAAAUGCACAUGCUGUGAGCUCGAUGAGUAGGGCGGGACACGUGGUAUCCUGUCUGAAUAUGGGGGGACCAUCCUCCAAGGCUAAAUACUCCUGACUGACCGAUAGUGAACCAGUACCGUGAGGGAAAGGCGAAAAGAACCCCGGCGAGGGGAGUGAAAAAGAACCUGAAACCGUGUACGUACAAGCAGUGGGAGCACGCUUAGGCGUGUGACUGCGUACCUUUUGUAUAAUGGGUCAGCGACUUAUAUUCUGUAGCAAGGUUAACCGAAUAGGGGAGCCGAAGGGAAACCGAGUCUUAACUGGGCGUUAAGUUGCAGGGUAUAGACCCGAAACCCGGUGAUCUAGCCAUGGGCAGGUUGAAGGUUGGGUAACACUAACUGGAGGACCGAACCGACUAAUGUUGAAAAAUUAGCGGAUGACUUGUGGCUGGGGGUGAAAGGCCAAUCAAACCGGGAGAUAGCUGGUUCUCCCCGAAAGCUAUUUAGGUAGCGCCUCGUGAAUUCAUCUCCGGGGGUAGAGCACUGUUUCGGCAAGGGGGUCAUCCCGACUUACCAACCCGAUGCAAACUGCGAAUACCGGAGAAUGUUAUCACGGGAGACACACGGCGGGUGCUAACGUCCGUCGUGAAGAGGGAAACAACCCAGACCGCCAGCUAAGGUCCCAAAGUCAUGGUUAAGUGGGAAACGAUGUGGGAAGGCCCAGACAGCCAGGAUGUUGGCUUAGAAGCAGCCAUCAUUUAAAGAAAGCGUAAUAGCUCACUGGUCGAGUCGGCCUGCGCGGAAGAUGUAACGGGGCUAAACCAUGCACCGAAGCUGCGGCAGCGACGCUUAUGCGUUGUUGGGUAGGGGAGCGUUCUGUAAGCCUGUGAAGGUGUGCUGUGAGGCAUGCUGGAGGUAUCAGAAGUGCGAAUGCUGACAUAAGUAACGAUAAAGCGGGUGAAAAGCCCGCUCGCCGGAAGACCAAGGGUUCCUGUCCAACGUUAAUCGGGGCAGGGUGAGUCGACCCCUAAGGCGAGGCCGAAAGGCGUAGUCGAUGGGAAACAGGUUAAUAUUCCUGUACUUGGUGUUACUGCGAAGGGGGGACGGAGAAGGCUAUGUUGGCCGGGCGACGGUUGUCCCGGUUUAAGCGUGUAGGCUGGUUUUCCAGGCAAAUCCGGAAAAUCAAGGCUGAGGCGUGAUGACGAGGCACUACGGUGCUGAAGCAACAAAUGCCCUGCUUCCAGGAAAAGCCUCUAAGCAUCAGGUAACAUCAAAUCGUACCCCAAACCGACACAGGUGGUCAGGUAGAGAAUACCAAGGCGCUUGAGAGAACUCGGGUGAAGGAACUAGGCAAAAUGGUGCCGUAACUUCGGGAGAAGGCACGCUGAUAUGUAGGUGAAGCGACUUGCUCGUGGAGCUGAAAUCAGUCGAAGAUACCAGCUGGCUGCAACUGUUUAUUAAAAACACAGCACUGUGCAAACACGAAAGUGGACGUAUACGGUGUGACGCCUGCCCGGUGCCGGAAGGUUAAUUGAUGGGGUCAGCGCAAGCGAAGCUCUUGAUCGAAGCCCCGGUAAACGGCGGCCGUAACUAUAACGGUCCUAAGGUAGCGAAAUUCCUUGUCGGGUAAGUUCCGACCUGCACGAAUGGCGUAAUGAUGGCCAGGCUGUCUCCACCCGAGACUCAGUGAAAUUGAACUCGCUGUGAAGAUGCAGUGUACCCGCGGCAAGACGGAAAGACCCCGUGAACCUUUACUAUAGCUUGACACUGAACAUUGAGCCUUGAUGUGUAGGAUAGGUGGGAGGCUUAGAAGUGUGGACGCCAGUCUGCAUGGAGCCGACCUUGAAAUACCACCCUUUAAUGUUUGAUGUUCUAACGUUGACCCGUAAUCCGGGUCGCGGACAGUGUCUGGUGGGUAGUUUGACUGGGGCGGUCUCCUCCUAAAGAGUAACGGAGGAGCACGAAGGUUGGCUAAUCCUGGUCGGACAUCAGGAGGUUAGUGCAAUGGCAUAAGCCAGCUUGACUGCGAGCGUGACGGCGCGAGCAGGUGCGAAAGCAGGUCAUAGUGAUCCGGUGGUUCUGAAUGGAAGGGCCAUCGCUCAACGGAUAAAAGGUACUCCGGGGAUAACAGGCUGAUACCGCCCAAGAGUUCAUAUCGACGGCGGUGUUUGGCACCUCGAUGUCGGCUCAUCACAUCCUGGGGCUGAAGUAGGUCCCAAGGGUAUGGCUGUUCGCCAUUUAAAGUGGUACGCGAGCUGGGUUUAGAACGUCGUGAGACAGUUCGGUCCCUAUCUGCCGUGGGCGCUGGAGAACUGAGGGGGGCUGCUCCUAGUACGAGAGGACCGGAGUGGACGCAUCACUGGUGUUCGGGUUGUCAUGCCAAUGGCACUGCCCGGUAGCUAAAUGCGGAAGAGAUAAGUGCUGAAAGCAUCUAAGCACGAAACUUGCCCCGAGAUGAGUUCUCCCUGACCCUUUAAGGGUCCUGAAGGAACGUUGAAGACGACGACGUUGAUAGGCCGGGUGUGUAAGCGCAGCGAUGCGUUGAGCUAACCGGUACUAAUGAACCGUGAGGCUUAACCUUACAACGCCGAAG